UACGUAGGGGGCAAGCGUUAUCCGGAUUUACUGGGUGUAAAGGGAGCGUAGACGGUGUGGCAAGUCUGAUGUGAAAGGCAUGGGCUCAACCUGUGGGCUGCAUUGGAAACUGUCAUACUUGAGUGCCGGAGGGGUAAGCGGAAUUCCUAGUGUAGCGGUGAAAUGCGUAGAUAUUAGGAGGAACACCAGUAGCGAAGGCGGCUUACUGGACGGUAACUGACGUUGAGGCUCGAAAGCGUGGGGAGCAAACAGG
This 253-nucleotide ribosomal RNA is filed under the name Blautia wexlerae DSM 19850. RNAcentral's name for it is "partial 16S ribosomal RNA". It matches the Rfam family "Bacterial small subunit ribosomal RNA", at positions 524 to 776 of the family's 1533-position model. The record is from RNAcentral. Lineage: Bacteria; Bacillati; Bacillota; Clostridia; Lachnospirales; Lachnospiraceae.